Molecule: non-coding RNA, 218 nt
Organism: Paramuricea clavata
Lineage: Eukaryota; Metazoa; Cnidaria; Anthozoa; Malacalcyonacea; Plexauridae
Source: the annotation of a GenBank genome assembly
CCCAUAAAAUGACGUAAUAAUGUUCACCCCAUAAUUGCCGAUUUAAGUUUGAAACUGUAAAGUUUCAACAAGUUUUUAAUCAAUUAAAGUCGCUAAAAAAGAAGAAAUCUACUGGUCUGGAUAAUAUCCCAGCUUACGUACUGAAGGACUGUGCUAGCGUUAUUACUGAACCUCUAACCCACAUUAUAAAUAGCUCCUUGAUUACUGGUGUUUUUCCU